AUCACCAUCAUCGCUAUCAUUACCACAGCUAACACCAUAAUCAUGAUGGUGUUGGCUGUGGUAAUGAUAGCGGUGAUGGUGAU
Molecule: non-coding RNA, 83 nt
Organism: Paramuricea clavata
Lineage: Eukaryota; Metazoa; Cnidaria; Anthozoa; Malacalcyonacea; Plexauridae
Source: the annotation of a GenBank genome assembly